Long non-coding RNA from Hylaeus anthracinus, 1021 nucleotides. RefSeq lists it as uncharacterized. NCBI's taxonomy places the organism in Eukaryota, Metazoa, Arthropoda, Insecta, Hymenoptera, Colletidae. The record is from RefSeq and is a predicted model, not a curated record. The transcript is spliced from 6 exons.
UGUUAUACAUUCUUUAUUUUUCUUGCAGGGGAAAAGGAGUGGUAACUGGUUAAUAACUGCCUCAUUAAAUAGUGAUAGGAAAAAUAAACUGCAGUUGGAAAUGAAAUGACUAGACUCUUAUGAACCUCUAGGCAAGAGAAUCUUUUGGAUCGUACAAUUCAUAAUGUACUUUAUCUGCAGAGAAUUGUUCGCGAACAACGAUGUGUUCUAUCAGGCGACACUCGCCAUCCAAAAUGAAGUUUUGCAGAUGGAGCGUACUUCGUCGGGUUGAAAGUCCUUCAUUCUACUGAGAAUGCAACAUUCUCGUAUGGCUUCUGCAUCCCACGACUUGAAGUAAUUGAAAUGGACCAGCGCAUCCUGCAGGACAUCCCAUUCUUCCAUCAAAUAGCAACGCAAAAUCUCGUCGAACUUGUCGCGAGGGGAAAAGGAGUGGUAACUGGUUAAUAACUGCCUCAUUAAAUAGUGAUAGGAAAAAUAAACUGCAAUUGGAAAUGAAAUGACUAGAUUCUUAUGAACCUCUAGGGUUCUUCUGUUAACCACUCGAUGAACUCCAGGACGAGCCUGACAGUUGCUCGGAAGAGGUAGAUUCCUCUCAAUCUGAUAGGCUAUUCGUUUUAUCGUCAUUAGUGGUAACCACGGUUAAAUUUUACUUUGACGGACCUAAGGGUCGAAAAUGCCACUUUUAACUGCUCGUAACUUCUGUACCAGUGGAUUCCUCCCAUUAAGACUAGCAUUUCCGGAUUUUUCUCGACAAAAUCUAUAGAAUUACGUAAAAGAAACUAAACAAUUUUAGGUCCGCCAAAGUAAGGUGCACCCGCAACCACAAUAAAACAAAUGUAAUUUAACCAUGUAAAUUUCACUUACUCUACUCAAAAUCUCUGAUCUCCUCGCCAAUAUUUCCAUAAACGACUCCCGCAGGGAGAUUCUUCUGCCUAGCACCAUUUUCUGUUUUAUUUCAAUUAAUCGCAAGCUUUGAAUUUACGUGGCGUGUACCGAAUGUACGUGCAAUGUUUUAUCGAUA